This 474-nucleotide ribosomal RNA is filed under the name uncultured bacterium. RNAcentral's name for it is "bacterial SSU rRNA". It matches the Rfam family "Bacterial small subunit ribosomal RNA", at positions 38 to 507 of the family's 1533-position model. The record is from RNAcentral.
GGCGGCAGGCUUAACACAUGCAAGUCGAGCGGUAGCAGAUCUAGCUUGCUAGAUGCUGACGAGCGGCGGACGGGUGAGUAACGCAUAGGAACCUGCCCAGUAGGUGGGGAUACGACCCGGGAACUCGGAUUAAUACCGCAUACGCUCUACGGAGGAAAGAGGGGGCUUCGGCUCUCGCUAUUGGAUGGGCCUGCGUGAGAUUAGCUAGUUGGUGAGGUAAUGGCUCACCAAGGCGACGAUCUCUAGCUGGUCUGAGAGGAUGAUCAGCCACACUGGGACUGAGACACGGCCCAGACUCCUACGGGAGGCAGCAGUGGGGAAUAUUGCACAAUGGGCGCAAGCCUGAUGCAGCCAUGCCGCGUGUGUGAAGAAGGCUUUCGGGUUGUAAAGCACUUUCAGUGGGGAGGAAGGCCUCGUAGUUAAUAGCUGCGAGGAUUGACGUUACCCACAGAAGAAGCACCGGCUAACUCCGUG